This 24-nucleotide non-coding RNA is filed under the name Arabidopsis thaliana (thale cress). The record is from RNAcentral. Lineage: Eukaryota; Viridiplantae; Streptophyta; Magnoliopsida; Brassicales; Brassicaceae.
GCAUCCGGUUUCACUCACGACCUU